UUGGCAUUUGAAACUGUCACCAUGGAGACAAGCCUCAAAGAAUUUUGGAAAGAAGCUCUGUUCCAGAACUUCCUUUUUCUAAUUUUUCUCAUGUCUACAGAAGGAAAAUCUUAAAAUGAGAUUGUUCCGUCAGAGAUUUUGGUCACAGAGUGGAAAAGUGAAUCACAAGUGCCACUUGCAGUGAGCCGUUGUGGUUUGAUGAGAAGUGAGGCCCUUCUGUCCAUAGAUGUGACAUCUGUCAGCAUCGUCUGCAUCUGUUCUGAGGCUCAACGAGUCAGUGUUUUCAAAUGGAACAGUGGUGGUAGUAAUUCUAACAGCAGUCUACAUGCUUUGUACUCACUGAUGGUGUCAGACACUGAGCCGAACCCUGGACAGUUACCAGCAGUAUGGAAAUUGAGGACAACAGAAACUGCUGGAUGUGUGAGAGUGAUGGUCACACGGUGGAGGAAGCUGGGAUCAAGUGCAAGGCCACCUGCCUUCAUUCUUUCACUCAUAGAGGUUUCAGCUCACUAAAAACUGCUGCUGAGAACACACACUCUUGCUUAAAACACCCAUAAUGUUUUUCUUUAUCUUUUGAGAAUGUUACACAAAUAUACAAUGUAUUUUGGUUAUGUUAACUCCUACAUCCCAACAACAACAACAACAACAACAACAACAAAUACUGGACUCCCUUACCCUCAUGUCCCUAGACAUGUUUUUAAAUUAUAUUAUAUUUAUUUAUCUA
This is a long non-coding RNA of Mastomys coucha (southern multimammate mouse), 724 nucleotides long. RefSeq lists it as uncharacterized. The transcript has 3 exons. Lineage: Eukaryota; Metazoa; Chordata; Mammalia; Rodentia; Muridae. The record is from RefSeq and is a predicted model, not a curated record.